Molecule: ribosomal RNA, 253 nt
Filed under: uncultured bacterium
Lineage: Bacteria
Description: partial 16S ribosomal RNA
Rfam family: Bacterial small subunit ribosomal RNA
Source: RNAcentral
UACGAAGGGGGCUAGCGUUGCUCGGAAUCACUGGGCGUAAAGCGCACGUAGGCGGAUCUUUAAGUCAGGGGUGAAAUCCUGGAGCUCAACUCCAGAACUGCCUUUGAUACUGGCAGUCUCGAGUGCGGGAGAGGUGAGUGGAAUUCCCAGUGUAGAGGUGAAAUUCGUAGAUAUUGGGAAGAACACCAGUGGCGAAGGCGGCUCACUGGCCCGUAACUGACGCUGAGGUGCGAAAGCGUGGGGAGCAAACAGG